RNAcentral lists this ribosomal RNA (375 nucleotides) under uncultured bacterium. RNAcentral's name for it is "bacterial SSU rRNA". It matches the Rfam family "Bacterial small subunit ribosomal RNA", at positions 524 to 898 of the family's 1533-position model. The record is from RNAcentral.
UACAGAGGGUGCAAGCGUUAAUCGGAAUUACUGGGCGUAAAGGGCGCGUAGGCGGUCAAUUAAGUUGGAUGUGAAAUCCCUGGGCUUAACCUAGGAACUGCAUACAAGACUGAAUGACUAGAGUGCAGUAGAGGGUAGUGGAAUUUCCGGUGUAGCGGUGAAAUGCGUAGAUAUCGGAAGGAACACCAGUGGCGAAGGCGGCUACCUGGACUGACACUGACGCUGAGGCGCGAAAGCGUGGGGAGCAAACAGGAUUAGAUACCCUGGUAGUCCACGCUGUAAACGAUGAGAACUAGAUGUUGGUAGGCUUGACCUAUUAGUAUCGAAGCUAACGCGAUAAGUUCUCCGCCUGGGGAGUACGGCCGCAAGGUUAAA